RNAcentral lists this ribosomal RNA (298 nucleotides) under uncultured eukaryote. Its description in RNAcentral is "partial 18S ribosomal RNA". It matches the Rfam family "Eukaryotic small subunit ribosomal RNA", at positions 1470 to 1796 of the family's 1831-position model. The record is from RNAcentral.
CCCUUAGACCCUCUAGGCGGCACGCGCGCUACAAUGGGUGGAAGAACGUGUUACUGCCUCCGAAAGGAGGGGUGAAUCACGAAUUCUUGCCCGUGAAUGGGAUAGUUUGUUGCAAUUUUCGGACUUGAACUAGGAAUCCCUUGUAAACAUGCUCAAGAAUAGCGUGUUGAAUACGUCCCUGCCGUUUGUACACACCGCCCGUCGUUUCUUCCGACUGAUACUCAUUGUGAGUUGCAAGGACCCUUUAUUGGGAAAUUGCUGCAAAUGCUUUGUAUUGGAGGAAGAAAAAGUCGUAACA